This 455-nucleotide ribosomal RNA is filed under the name uncultured bacterium. Its description in RNAcentral is "bacterial SSU rRNA". It matches the Rfam family "Bacterial small subunit ribosomal RNA", at positions 340 to 786 of the family's 1533-position model. The record is from RNAcentral.
UACGGGAAGGCAGCAGUGGGGAAUAUUGCACAAUGGGCGAAAGCCUGAUGCAGCUAUGCCGCGUGUAUGAAGAAGGCCUUAGGGUUGUAAAGUACUUUCAUCGGGGAGGAAAAACAAAACUAAUAAUUUUAUUUCUUGACGUUACCCGAAAAAGAAGCACCGGCUAACUCCGUGCCAGCAGCCGCGGUAAUACGGAGGGUGCUAGCGUUAAUCAGAAUUACUGGGCGUAAAGAGCACGUAGGUGGUUUUUUUAAGUCAGAUGUGAAAUCCCUGGGCUUAACCUGGAACUGCAUUUUGAAACUGAAAUACUAGAGUAUCGUAGAGGGAGGUAGAAUUCUAGGUGUAGCGGUGAAAUGCGUAGAUAUCUGGAGGAAUACCUGUGGCGAAAGCGGCCUCCUAAACGAAUACUGACACUGAGGUGCGAAAGCGUGGGGAGCAAACAGGGAUUAGAUACC